GAUGAACGCUGGCGGCGUGCCUAAUACAUGCAAGUCGAGCGAACGGACGAGAAGCUUGCUUCUCUGAUGUUAGCGGCGGACGGGUGAGUAACACGUGGAUAACCUACCUAUAAGACUGGGAUAACUUCGGGAAACCGGAGCUAAUACCGGAUAAUAUUUUGAACCGCAUGGUUCAAAAGUGAAAGACGGUCUUGCUGUCACUUAUAGAUGGAUCCGCGCUGCAUUAGCUAGUUGGUAAGGUAACGGCUUACCAAGGCAACGAUGCGUAGCCGACCUGAGAGGGUGAUCGGCCACACUGGAACUGAGACACGGUCCAGACUCCUACGGGAGGCAGCAGUAGGGAAUCUUCCGCAAUGGGCGAAAGCCUGACGGAGCAACACCGCGUGAGUGAUGAAGGUCUUCGGAUCGUAAAACUCUGUUAUUAGGGAAGAACAUAUGUGUAAGUAACUGUGCACAUCUUGACGGUACCUAAUCAGAAAGCCACGGCUAACUACGUG
This 497-nucleotide ribosomal RNA is filed under the name uncultured bacterium. RNAcentral's name for it is "partial 16S ribosomal RNA". It matches the Rfam family "Bacterial small subunit ribosomal RNA", at positions 28 to 507 of the family's 1533-position model. The record is from RNAcentral.